AUGAAAGCCCUGCGCGGUGUAAUGAAUAAGAGUCAUGGACUGGGACUCAAGAGACUGCGGUUGAGGUUCCCAUUUUGCCAUGGAAAUUCUCUCUGUAUGGCAACUGAUAAAGAGGACUCAAUUCGCUGUCAUCUCUUUUCUCUGUUCCUUCUUGCAAUCACUGGUGGUACAAGCAAAGUGUCCAUUAUGUGAUCUGUAUAGAAUUAGGUAAGUAAACUACAUCCUUUGGAUGAAAUUCAGAAAUUUUUCUACUUUAUUGAUACAGUGUUUUUGAUUUGCUUUGUUGAAUGUAUGUACCAAACCUGUCAGGUGCUUCAGGCCCUAUAGAAGUGGUUUUGUUUUGUUUUGAUUACUCAGUCGUGUGAACAGGGUAACUGCA
This 379-nucleotide long non-coding RNA is filed under the name Pogona vitticeps (central bearded dragon). Its description in RNAcentral is "lncRNA (ENSPVIG00000018178.1)". The record is from RNAcentral. Lineage: Eukaryota; Metazoa; Chordata; Lepidosauria; Squamata; Agamidae.